CAUGGAUGGGCUGGGAAGGGAGAAUGAGACACAUGGAGAGGGUUGGGGGGAAAUGAUAUGCAUGCCCAAGGGCAAUUUUCACACUGGGGGUUGGUGGUUUCUAGUUAUGCCUCUGAUCUGUUAUUUUCAUGUGCAAAAAAAGACACUCUAUUGUAUUUGACCCUGUUAGGCUGGACGAAUCACCACAUUGUCUGGAAACCCUUACGCUGCCAUGGACUUAUGC
Molecule: non-coding RNA, 223 nt
Organism: Pelobates cultripes (western spadefoot toad)
Lineage: Eukaryota; Metazoa; Chordata; Amphibia; Anura; Pelobatidae
Source: the annotation of a GenBank genome assembly